GGGGUUGUGGCUCAGCGGUAGAGCACUUGCCUGGCAUGUAUGAGGCUCUGGGUUCAAUCCUCAGCACCACA
Molecule: transfer RNA, 71 nt
Filed under: Marmota monax (woodchuck)
Lineage: Eukaryota; Metazoa; Chordata; Mammalia; Rodentia; Sciuridae
Description: tRNA.Ala
Rfam family: tRNA
About the family: Transfer RNA (tRNA) molecules are approximately 80 nucleotides in length. Their secondary structure includes four short double-helical elements and three loops (D, anti-codon, and T loops).
Source: RNAcentral